This 254-nucleotide ribosomal RNA is filed under the name uncultured bacterium. RNAcentral's name for it is "partial 16S ribosomal RNA". It matches the Rfam family "Bacterial small subunit ribosomal RNA", at positions 524 to 776 of the family's 1533-position model. The record is from RNAcentral.
UACGUAGGGGGCGAGCGUUGUCCGGAUUUAUUGGGCGUAAAGAGCUCGUAGGCGGUUUGGUAAGUCGGAUGUGAAAUCUCCAGGCUCAACCUGGAGGGGUCAUUCGAGACUGCUAUGACUAGAGUUCGGUAGAGGAGUGUGGAAUUCCUGGUGUAGCGGUGGAAUGCGCAGAUAUCAGGAGGAACACCAAUAGCGAAGGCAGCUCGCUGGGACGGUACUGACGCUAAGGCGCGAAAGCGUGGGGAGCGAACAGG